CCUAGAAGACAAAUGCGCUGCUCGCAGAGGCUGCCGCGACAACCAACUGGACGCCCCGAACGCUCAAUCCUCCGAGAAUAUUUUCAAUCCAUGGUUGGGUGCGGAACCUGUGGAUACAGAGGACUGACUAUAAUAUCAAGAGAUCAUAAGGCUGACGGAAUGGACUCUUUGUGGCAAUAAGAUACCAUAUUAUAAACAGCACUUAAGGCUGUGCCAGGAUAAUGACUUAAAACUUAACGUUGGUCACUGCAAUCAAAGUCUUACUAUGAAAAACCAAAACAUCAAGCCCUAGUACAGGAAGGGACAUUUUCACACUAAUCUGUGCCAGCUGGAGCAGUCCUGCCAUCUGAACGUCACAUUUUGGAACAAUUGGGAAGCUAGGAUGCAGUUAACAGCCUCCAUGGUUACCUGAAAAUAGGAAGGGAGGAAGUCUACGAUGCUGGAGCCACAAGAUAUGUACGUUCUUUACUGUAAAAGAUCACACCAGCCUUUGGAAGCCUGAUUCAAUUUGAAAGAGUAGAUAAAAUAUAGUUUCUAGACCUGCCAAGGUGAGGAUGAGACCAAAGACUAGGGCGUGGCCACUACCAUGUGAACACUGGGAGGUCCUCCAACCUCCCCUGACAUUUCUCUUGAACUUCUCAAAGUUACCUGCUGGGACCCCAGGGGUGUGAGUUCCAAGGGCCCCAUCAGCUCUGAGAUUAUACGCUGAACUCAGGCAUCAGAAUUGUUAGACAGCUUUAUCUCAGUUCUGAGAAAUGGUUAAAACCACCCUCGGCAGUCACACGUGGAACCACUUAUUUCAUUACUGUGGACAUUUUCUUGUAGGAAUAAUAUAUAGUGAAAAUCCAUUGGGAUAACCAACAUAAAACUGAUUUUGUUUUCUAUUUGAUAUAGCAAUUGCAUUUUAUUUGUUUGUUGUAUGUAUUCGUAAACUUAUUUUUAAAAAACAGACCUGGAAAAUUUUAUACUUUUUUCCUAUAAUAUCUUUUAAAGCUGCUUGAAAAUUGUUUAUUAUGACAAUAUAUAAAACUAGUUUACAUGGCCAAUAAUAUAUUUUGUCUCUAGGUUGAUGGACCUUAAUAAAAGCAGUUUCUCACCUCUGGAGUUCCACUUCUCUUUCCACUGAUUGAAAUGGGUUGCAUCCAACCUGCAUUCUUGAAACUGAGACUUCUUUAGUGAAACUCCAACAUCUACCACACAUUGGUGGAGAAGGCAGAAUAGCCAGGGGACAUACUGCAACCCCCCCUCCUUUGGACAAGUUUCUCCUCCACUGUCCAUUUGUUAUUUCUCUCCUAUCUCAGGAUGAAAGUGUCCUUUCACUCCUUCGAUGCUAACUCAUCAACUUGUACUCUUGGUUCCAAAACUCUGAUUUUGCUUGUGGCUUAUAUUAGCUCCUCAUUGUCUUUCCUUCAUGGCUGGAUCUCACUCUUCAGGUUUACAAACUUAGUUCACUUCUCUGCAGACUAAAAAACACAAGCCUCCACUUCAUUCUGGCUCCUCUCAGAGCAACCAUUCUACCUCCUUCCUUCCCAUCACAAUUGCCCAUUGACUCUGCUCCACUUCUCUGUCUACCUUCUGCCCUUGCCACUUAAGAAGGUCACACAAAUCCAAACCACCAAAUCCAAGAGACUUGGAUCCUUAAAUGCUGCUGAACCUCUCAGGACAUCUAACAUUGUUUUUACUUCUUUUUUCCUUGUGAAUCUGGUUCUUUCUUUGAAACCCCACAUUUCUCUGAUUUAUCUACCUUAUCUGCUUCCCCUUUCCUAUCGAAUAUAGCCAUGUCUGGCUCCCUACUGUUGGUGGGCAUCUGCUUGAUGUUUUGCUGCUCUGCCCAGUUGCCCUUCUCCUUCUCAAUGGUGGUGGCUGCCCAAUCUGCUGGACCCCUCAGUUCUAAUUGUUAGCUCAUCGUUUCCUCAAAGAGAUGGCUUUUAAAACCCAGCCCAGACAAACCCAAACUCGUCAUCUUGGCCACUGUGCUAGAUCUUUCCUGAUUGUUUGCCCAGUUCAAAAUGGAUUCUCCAUUCUUUGGAGAUGGACACCAAUCUAUAGCAUGGGCCCCAAGCAGCCAUUUGACCUGAUUUCCUGGUCACAGGUGACUGGCACAGGGACAGCCACCUGCCU
Molecule: non-coding RNA, 2121 nt
Organism: Chlorocebus sabaeus (green monkey)
Lineage: Eukaryota; Metazoa; Chordata; Mammalia; Primates; Cercopithecidae
Source: RefSeq, a predicted model, not a curated record